Molecule: long non-coding RNA, 498 nt
Filed under: Phoenix dactylifera (date palm)
Lineage: Eukaryota; Viridiplantae; Streptophyta; Magnoliopsida; Arecales; Arecaceae
Description: long non-coding RNA (PDAC_LNC022688)
Source: RNAcentral
GAAAUAUGUAUAAAAUAUGUAAAAGGGGGAGAAAUAUGCAUAACAUAUGUAAAAGGAAUCAAUGGAAAUCAAUAAAAAGAUAAACUCUUAAAACACACAAAUUUGUUCUAAGUGGAUUCGGUACCUCGAGGCUCAUUAUCUCUCUUUUGGGGCUCCUAAUGGAGUAAUCUCCAAAAUCUAUUCAAGGAACAUUCGGAGAUUAGCUGAAUCCUACUCAAGAACAAAUUGACAGAUUUUCCCUCUAAAAACCAAAAUUUCAGUUCAAAAACUUCAAAGCAUUAAAAGGAAAUUCAAAGAAUCAAAACAAAGUAGAAUGCAUAUGUUGAGGAGGAGAAUCUGAAAUUUUAACAAAGCUAAAUCAUUAAAGAUAUAUAAGCCAAACAAUUGAUUGCAUAAUAUGAAGGCUUAUAUAAUUCCAAAUGAAAGGGGGAGCUUUAACUCCGAAAUUUACUGUUUCACUCCUUUCAAGCUUGAAUAAAUUGAAUUACCAGACAUUUG